This is a non-coding RNA of Pelobates cultripes (western spadefoot toad), 425 nucleotides long. NCBI's taxonomy places the organism in Eukaryota, Metazoa, Chordata, Amphibia, Anura, Pelobatidae. The record is from the annotation of a GenBank genome assembly.
GGCAGUAAGUCACACUAGUCCCUCCGUCUUGACCCCUCCAUGCCUUAUUUCCCAGUGCUACGGGUAGGAUAGGUCCCGUGUCCUGGUUCGGGUGCUGUCUCUCACUGCGGGCCUAUUCGUUUUAGGGGGGGUAGUUACCCAGGUGGAACGUCACUUGUAGCCCCACACAUUACGUCUCCCUUGCUGGAUCCAUUUGUAAAAUUCUCUAGGGGGGUUUGACUGGGUCUCACUAAUUGUCAGGUCCAGUCAUGAACGUUCACUGCAUCUUUCUAUUGUGCCCUUAGAGUUAGUUUUUGUCGGCAGUAGGGUGGCGCAGUGCGAUUAAUGCCCAGGGUAUGGGUGGGUUAAAACCUCCGUAUGGGAUAUCACCAACAUUUGAAUUAACAUAUUAACAGAAUGCAGUAUAAGAAACAAAAUAACACUUG